UGCAGUCGAACGAGAACGGUCCUUCGGGAUGUCAGCUAAGUGGCGGACGGGUGAGUAAUGUAUAGCUAAUGUGCCCCUUGGAGAGGGAUAACAGUUGGAAACGACUGCUAAUACCUCAUACUCCUUCUAUAUUAAUUAUAGUUGGGAAACGUUUUUUCGCCAAGGGAUCGGGCUAUAUGGUAUCAGCUAGUUGGUGAGGUAAUGGCUCACCAAGGCAAUGACGCCCAACUGGUCUGAGAGGAUGAUCAGUCACACUGGAACUGAGACACGGUCCAGACUCCUACGGGAGGCAGCAGUGGGGAAUAUUGCACAAUGGGGGAAACCCUGAUGCAGCAACGCCGCGUGGAGGAUGACGCAUUUCGGUGUGUAAACUCCUUUUAUAUAGGAAGAUAAUGACGGUACUAUAUGAAUAAGCACCGGCUAACUCCGUGCCAGCAGCCGCGGUAAUACGGAGGGUGCAAGCGUUACUCGGAAUCACUGGGCGUAAAGCGCGCGCAGGCGGCCUUUUAAGUUGGAUGUGAAAGCCUACGGCUCAACCGUAGAACUGCAUCCAAAACUACUAGGCUAGAGUCUGGGAGGGGAAGAUGGAAUUAGUUGUGUAGGGGUAAAAUCCGUAGAGAUAACUAGGAAUACCAAAAGCGAAGGCAAUCUUCUGGAACAGUACUGACGCUGAGGCGCGAAAGCGUGGGGAGCAAACAGGAU
This 702-nucleotide ribosomal RNA is filed under the name uncultured Campylobacterota bacterium. Its description in RNAcentral is "bacterial SSU rRNA". It matches the Rfam family "Bacterial small subunit ribosomal RNA", at positions 56 to 778 of the family's 1533-position model. Lineage: Bacteria; Pseudomonadati; Campylobacterota. The record is from RNAcentral.